RNAcentral lists this ribosomal RNA (465 nucleotides) under uncultured bacterium. Its description in RNAcentral is "partial 16S ribosomal RNA". It matches the Rfam family "Bacterial small subunit ribosomal RNA", at positions 28 to 507 of the family's 1533-position model. The record is from RNAcentral.
GACGAACGCUGGCGGCGUGCUUAACACAUGCAAGUCGAACGGAAAGGCCCCUUUGGGGGUACUCGAGUGGCGAACGGGUGAGUAACACGUGAGUAACCUGCCCUUGACUUCGGGAUAACUUCAGGAAACUGGGGCUAAUACCGGAUAGGAAUCCUUGCUGCAUGGGGGGGGUUGGAAAGCUUCGGCGGUUUUGGAUGGACUCGCGGCUUAUCGGCGUGUUGGUGGGGUAGUGGCUUACCGAGGCUUCGACGGGUAGCCGGCCUGUGAGGGCGACCGGCCACCCUGGGACCGAGGUGCGGCCCCGGUUCCUACGGGUGGCCGCUGGGGGGAAUCUUGCCCAAUGGGCGCCAGCCUGGUGCAGCAGCGCCGCGUGCGGGAUGACGGCCUUCGGGUUGUAAACCGCUUUCAGCAGGGGCGAAGCUUGUGGUGACGGUACCUGCAGAAGAAGCACCGGCUAACUACGUG